Molecule: long non-coding RNA, 2197 nt
Organism: Cannabis sativa
Lineage: Eukaryota; Viridiplantae; Streptophyta; Magnoliopsida; Rosales; Cannabaceae
Exons: 4
Source: RefSeq, a predicted model, not a curated record
CUAAUAUCGCGAUUGACUUGUUCUUCUCUUUCUUCAAACCUACAAACAAACAUAUUGCGAUUCAAACCGAGAACAAGAUUCCUUUUUCUUUUCUCUUAAAUCUAUAUUGAUAUUUCAAUCACUGCAUGAAAUCAAAGACCAUUCUCUCCGAUUCUUGAUCCCCAUUUAUUGUAAUUCUUCUUUCUUCUCUACGAUUCAUCGGUGAAGAGAUCGACGAACCGAAUCGGGGUGUUGAGAUGCGAUAGACAGGUAAGGGGGAGAUGGAUAGAGGAUACAAUUCCUUGCUGAAAAGACCAACAAGUCCAAGAUUGCGUCAAUGUGGUGGCCUCCCAUUGGGUGAACGGUGUAAAAGGGAAUUGAAACUUUUAUAUUUAUGAUCUUUUUCCUUUUCCAUCCUAAGGAAAAGACCAAAUAAUCACAAACCCUAAAAAACCUGUAUCUUCCCCUUCUCCUCUCUCUAUUGUUUCUUAUAUCCAUGCUCUGAAGUUUCGACUCAUAGGGUAUGGCUACUGAGAGUGCUUCUCGAUCGAGCUUAGCAGUCGAUUCGUAUAUAGGGAGCUUGAUAUGUUUGACUUCCAAGAGUGAGAUCAGAUAUGGAGGCAUUCUUAAUCUCAAAUUCACACUACCUUUGUCUGUAUAGAAUUUAAGAUCUUGCUUAAAUUUCACACAACAUUCUUAUUAGUAAGUUGUUGCAAGUUUUUAAGUCUCAUAAAAAGGGACUUUUUUGUUUCUCCGUAGAGUUUUCUUAUAUGUAUAUUUCUUUCUGUACUCACUUUGUAAUUUGCUUCAUUAAUGGCAGUACGAUCCUUAGAAUAGAAGGAAAGAAAAAGGAUGAUCACAAAUUCCACCAAGUGACAAAGUCUAUGAAUAUAUAUUAUUCCCUGGAAGUGAAAUCAAGGAUUUGCAGGUCAAAUCUUCUCCACCCACUCACCCUGCUUAACCUACACCACCAAUUAACAAUGAUCCAGCUAUCAUUCAGAUAGGGGAGAUUGGAAGUGCUUUAGUAAAUGUUUAGAGUUUGGUAUUAAAUUUUUACUAAUUAAAAUUCAUUGCAGCCAACGAUUAUCUUCUAGAACUGUGUGCAAGCUAUCUUGCAAAAAAAUUUGUAUGUGCCAAACUUUUAUUUGCUUAUUACAAGAACUUUAUACUACUACACUUGCAUUAGUGUGUAAUUAUUUUUGCACAGUAUAUUUGGAUUGGUAUGGGUUAUCCUUAUCAUUUCUAUAUGAAAGAAUGUUUUAAUCUUAUUUAUUAUGUAGGGAUUUAGUUUUGGACAUUUUUAUUCUUAUGUAUUGAAUUAAUUUCUACAUUUGUAAUAAUUUAUUCCCUCAACUUCACAAGUUCAUGCAUUUUUUUCAUGUUUAUUAUUCAUAGCUGAUUAUCAGGUUUAUCUUAUUCAUACUUUUUUCUCAACUUUACAAGUUCAUGCCUUUUUCUUAAUGGUGUUGCUGGUUGAUUGCUUAUGAGGGGGUUUUUAGAUUAGGAUUUCUGUUAAUUGCUUGCUGAGUCUCGAUGAUGGCGUCAUGGUCGGUGGUGUGCUUGCAAACAUUGAUUCGGUUUCUAGGGAGAUGGUGGUGGCUGAGGCAGAGGCUUCGAAACCAGGUCGAUUUGGGAACGGAAAGGGUUGGAAGGUAGUAGUUCGAUGGAAUCAUAAUGUUCAUUCCAUUCUUGACUCGCCAAAGCUUGAAUCACAUUCCCAAAUAGACCAAUUAUUGAGGAUAAGUUCGGUUUGCUUCAGACAUGAAGGCUUUGAGUGAUGAUUUUGAAAGAUUUAUAUCGUUUAAUCCAUGACAUAUAUACCCUAAGCAAGGAGCAUGAGAAGAUGAUACAACUCACCAUGGUUUUCAGAGCACAUUUUUUUCCAUAUAUAUUAUUUUGUUUGGAGUUCUUGUUGCACAAUGAAUGUUAAUUCUGCCAAAGUGAAAUGCAUCCCAACUACUACGAGUAGUACCAUUGAUUCUUUCUGCAUUUUGAAUUCUAAACUGAAUUUAUUGACCAUGUCUAUUCAUGUGACACAAGAAAUAUUUUUACAAUAUUAAAUUUAUUUGUAAUUUCAUAACUACUAUCAUAGCUUUAAUGCAUUAUUAUAAUAAAGUGUUGAAUGUAAUUUCUUUUUUUCGAAAAAAAUGAUGUAAUCCUUAAACAAAAGAUAUAUCCAAAAUCUUAAAGAAAAAAAAAGACCAAACUUCAAGUAAAA